UAGAAGAGUAGUCUACCCAAACCCGACAGGGUUCCCGUACAUGGACCACAAGUGGGGCCACACUUGGAGGAGGAACGCGUGGAGAAUUAGAAGGACACAAUUAUGUUUUUUGCAGAAAUGGGCAUUUGUGCAUGAAAAAUUAGUAAACGGCAACUCCUCUGGUAUGUUACCUGUCUGUCCAUUUCCUACAAUCAGUGACGGUGGAGCCUGCCUCGUAGACUUGAAUAUAUACACACGUGUGAACCCAUACCAACCUUAUGAUCAUAAUGAUGUGCUCCUAAAUUUUCUUUUUGUUUUCAAGACUAUGAUAGAAUUGACAAGACAUGGUACCUCAGCAAACAAGUCUUUUAUUUCUGUAUUCAAGAGGUGCACAAAAAAGUAUCACUAGUGUGCUAGACUGUUAUCACUUUAUCACCAAUGGGACAACUACAGUUAUGGCUAUAACAUCAUAUAUACAUGUACUUUCGAACUAGUUUCACUUCUACAACUACUGUCAUGGCUACAUGCACCUCACUAGUGUGACCUCUGCAAAGCUAUCACACGAUGUAUCUUCUCAUUUUGGUACAUAUUCAACAUCUUGGGGGGGGGGGGUCCUUUAGUUUUCUUCCAAAUCAAGCAAAAAUUGAUGAGCCCACUGAUAUCAUCCAUAGACCUCGUGUGCCCUUAUGAUCCCUUAUCUUCCUUGAGGGACCGGCAUCACUCCCAGCACAUUAGAGGUAUACAUAGUACCGGGGUAUAGUUUGUAGUUACAGCUUUAAUACCAGGCUAAACAAUAGUAGGUGAAGUGAAUUUGUAACUCAAACUUUUUUAUGAUAAGUUAUCAUUGGUGAUAAACAUGAUGGAGUUACAGUAUCAGAACGUAGUUAUUGUUUUGAAGUUAAAGAUCCAUCAGGUAGGUUUCUUGGUUGUGUCAAAAAUAAACAGUGCCCUGCACAUGGUCGUUUUUUUGUCCUGUUUUGACUUGUCCUGUCCGCCCAGCAACUAUAAAUCCAUACCUGGAGCCAAAUCUUGCACGUUCGAAAACAUCAUCGCCUGUUUCAAGCUCGCCUGUUUGUUUAUCUGGAGCAGACCCGAAAACACAUUUCUACCAUCGCCUGUAUUUGUUAGCUCGCCUGUUUGUUGAUCUGGAACAGACCCGAAAACACAUUUCUACCAUCGUCUGUUUUGUACGUCCGGCUGUUUGUUGAUCAGGGACAGACCUCGGGCGUGUGACCUAGAAACCUUUCAAAGGUCAGUGACUCAAUGCUUUCCCCAGGGACCUUAUGGCCAGUUCUUGGAUAAGGCGGAACUGGUUCAAACUGGUUUGAUCCCCCCAGACCUAUGGCUUCUCCAAUCAGGGAGAAGUCUUAAGACAUUUGACCAAUAGGACAAAACUGGCCACCCUCCUGUCAAUCUUCCGAAACUGGGAGGGUCCGGGUAUACACUCCGUUUCUUGUCUGUUGACGAGACAGAAAGAGCGGGGCGUUCUAUGUGUUAACAUCGGGCCUGAGGUCAUCUCAGCUGUAACUUUUCUGGAAGCUACGACUGUAGGUUGGACUCUGUUUCCGCUGCAGAUACAAGGACAUGCGUCACUUCUGACAAGGUAGCAUGGCCACCCGCAGACUUCAGAAGGAAUCACUGCUCAGAGCAUAAAGGUCAACUUCUCCAUGACUCUGGUCGCAAACAGAAUUCACUGGACCCCGGUCACAGAAAAGCUGGGGUGUGUGCUGAUAUCACCCAGGAAAACAAACAAAAAAAGCAAGAAAAGAAAAGAAACCAAUAGAGUAAAAAGUGGCAAAGGUCACCCAAAAACACAUGAUACAAAACACACAAAUAAAACAUAAAACCCUCCAACAAAACAACACGUCUAUCACACAGUAAGAAUACGCAAAAUAAAGGACAGCAUCAUGUAGUCAAAGAAGUCUGUCUGUCUUAAAAAGUCCAAUGUACGGUGAGUUUUAUCUUCGCGUACUUUCUUUAUCAUCGAUGCGUCAGUCAUAGUCUAUAAAGUGACAUCUAAACAAACUGUAUCAGCUACAUGUCCAAACUUAUCAUUCUUCACUGUAAGAAGUUAUAAAUUACCAAAUACAUCGACAAACAUGUGACACGUUGGUCUUUAGUCUCCAGAAAGCUCAUUUGAAAUAUCUUUUAAAAGCUGCAAUAGUGUAUAAAAACUGCCCAAAGAAGCAACUUACAGUUCCUCAACGUUACAUGCAAACGCCCGUCCCGCAAGUUCUUGUCAAAAACGAAUUCCCCAGGGAAUGCGUGCGUGGAAUAUUUAGAAUUCCUGGCAACUCAAUCGCAGUGCUAUAAGAACGGCUCCGCCCCUGAGGCGUCGCCAAAAAACGAU
Molecule: long non-coding RNA, 2329 nt
Organism: Branchiostoma floridae (Florida lancelet)
Lineage: Eukaryota; Metazoa; Chordata; Leptocardii; Amphioxiformes; Branchiostomatidae
Exons: 3
Source: RefSeq, a predicted model, not a curated record